RNAcentral lists this long non-coding RNA (285 nucleotides) under Setaria viridis. Its description in RNAcentral is "long non-coding RNA (SVIR_LNC002454)". The record is from RNAcentral. Lineage: Eukaryota; Viridiplantae; Streptophyta; Magnoliopsida; Poales; Poaceae.
GUCCUCCUGCUCGUGGCGCUCGUCAGGUUCUGCGGGUCGACCCUGCACGCCGUCGCCAUGGGGGUCUGCAAGGUGCUCGUGUACGCCAUUUGCUUCCUCGGGCUCGGCCUGUACUGCAUCGCCAUGGCCGUCGGCAGGGCGGUCGCCUGCGUCGGCAGGGCGGUCGCCUGCCUCCUACCUGCCUGCGCGCAGUGCCUCCGUUUCUGCGCCGUCGCCACCAUGAAGGCCCCGGGAGCCGACGGCAUGCUGAUAUCGCGCGCCGCGUUCGUGGCGAACCCGGCGCUC